RNAcentral lists this ribosomal RNA (253 nucleotides) under uncultured bacterium. RNAcentral's name for it is "partial 16S ribosomal RNA". It matches the Rfam family "Bacterial small subunit ribosomal RNA", at positions 524 to 776 of the family's 1533-position model. The record is from RNAcentral.
UACAGAGGUGGCAAACGUUGUUCGGAUUUACUGGGCGUAAAGGGUGCGUAGGUGGGUUCGUAUGUCGGGUGUGAAAUGUCACCGCUCAACGGUGAAAUUGCAUUCGAAACUGCGGAUCUGGAGUGCAUGAGGGGAGAGCGGAAUUCUUGGUGUAGCGGUGAAAUGCGUUGAUAUCAAGAAGAACACCGGUGGCGAAGGCGGCUCUCUGGCAUGCUACUGACACUGAUGCACGAAAGUUGGGGGAGCAAACAGG